CUGUUUUUAAAGUGUGUCAUGUGCAAGAAAGACCGAGAUUUUCAACUGCACCUUACAGUCUGUAACAGUUGUCUCAGAAACCUCGAGUUUAUCUAAUUUUACCACUACUAAUUUCAGCUUUAACACGUGAAUGUCGUGGUAUUCAUUCCAGUCGUAAGGCAGUCAUUUGUAAAGAGUCCUCUCGGAGCAAGAGUGAUUUAUUGCGAUUUCUAGCGUGACUGGAUUCCGCUGACAAGUCACAACAACUCAUGACCGAGUAAAACGAUUAGAGAGUUAUGCAUUGUUGCAUCAUGCUCCGCCUGUACAUUCAACUAUAUACAACGCGUGGCCACACAUCCAUGACUUGUUACACGAGAAAGGCUACAUCAACUUUUCCAUGAAUCUGGAGUCUGAAGAUUCGGUGAGUCAGUCUCUGGAGAAAUACCCAAAGCAGAUGUCCAGCUGCAGCAGACCGCAGUCCAAACAGUGACUGACUGUCUGGAAACCUGCUGGACUUCCCACAUCUGCUUGACCACAGCAGACCCAUGAAUACGCACACACACAAACAAACGGCUACAGUUAAACGCGAUGGAGUGCGUCCAUUUGACCUGGCGUGGCUACUAACUGCUGUGUUUUACACCACAGGGAGAAAACACCAGCGUGUGAGUCACAGAGAUCAAAGUAAUUUCUAGCCCCUUUUAAACACCAUCUCCAGGCCUCAAUUAUUAAUGUACAUUUAAAUCAAGUGCAUGUGUUUACAUGUCUGUGCAUGUGUGCAUGUGUGUGCCA
This is a long non-coding RNA of Pseudoliparis swirei, 768 nucleotides long. RefSeq lists it as uncharacterized. The record is from RefSeq and is a predicted model, not a curated record. NCBI's taxonomy places the organism in Eukaryota, Metazoa, Chordata, Actinopteri, Perciformes, Liparidae. The transcript is spliced from 3 exons.